This 500-nucleotide ribosomal RNA is filed under the name Shigella sonnei. RNAcentral describes it as "bacterial SSU rRNA". It matches the Rfam family "Bacterial small subunit ribosomal RNA", at positions 292 to 784 of the family's 1533-position model. The record is from RNAcentral. Lineage: Bacteria; Pseudomonadati; Pseudomonadota; Gammaproteobacteria; Enterobacterales; Enterobacteriaceae.
CUGAGAGGAUGACCAGCCACACUGGAACUGAGACACGGUCCAGACUCCUACGGGAGGCAGCAGUGGGGAAUAUUGCACAAUGGGCGCAAGCCUGAUGCAGCCAUGCCGCGUGUAUGAAGAAGGCCUUCGGGUUGUAAAGUACUUUCAGCGGGGAGGAAGGGAGUAAAGUUAAUACCUUUGCUCAUUGACGUUACCCGCAGAAGAAGCACCGGCUAACUCCGUGCCAGCAGCCGCGGUAAUACGGAGGGUGCAAGCGUUAAUCGGAAUUACUGGGCGUAAAGCGCACGCAGGCGGUUUGUUAAGUCAGAUGUGAAAUCCCCGGGCUCAACCUGGGAACUGCAUCUGAUACUGGCAAGCUUGAGUCUCGUAGAGGGGGGUAGAAUUCCAGGUGUAGCGGUGAAAUGCGUAGAGAUCUGGAGGAAUAUCGGUGGCGAAGGCGGCCCCCUGGACGAAGACUGACGCUCAGGUGCGAAAGCGUGGGGAGCAAACAGGAUUAGAUA